This is a non-coding RNA of Leptonychotes weddellii (Weddell seal), 1633 nucleotides long. The record is from RefSeq and is a predicted model, not a curated record. NCBI's taxonomy places the organism in Eukaryota, Metazoa, Chordata, Mammalia, Carnivora, Phocidae.
AACUUUUUGUUUGUUUAGAAAACUGUGGCUGAAAAGCAGGAGAAGAGAAAUCAGGAUCGACUGAGGAGGAGAGAGGAGAGAGAGCGGGAGGAGCGACUGAGCAGGAGGUCUGGAUCAAGAACCAGAGAUCGAAGGAGGUCACGCUCCCGGGAUCGGCGUCGCAGGAGGUCCAGAUCUACCUCCAGGGAGCGACGAAAGUCGUCCCGAUCCCGGUCCCGAGACAGACACCGGCGCCACCGCAGCCGUUCCCGCAGCCACAGCCGGGGCCACCGCCGGGCUUCCAGGGACCGGAGUGCGAAAUACAAGUAACUACUCUGACUCCUUCAGUAGCUGCAACCAGGAGUUCUCCAGAGAACGGGCACCGAGGGAGGAGUCCUGGGAGCAUGGGCGCAGUGAGCGAGGGGCUGCUGACUGGAGGCUGGAGAGCUCCAAUGGGAAGACAACUUCGCGGAGGUCGGAGGAAAAGGAGGCUGGAGAGAUCUGAACCUACAUCUGGGCCUGUAAAUAGUCUGAUAAACAUUCAACACAGCCUAAAGUUACCCUUUAUAUUUGCUGAAUACAACUCAUCUUUUGUAGUUUACAAUUUCUAUUGUUUUGGAGCUCGCUGUGAGUUUCUAGCGAUGUACAGAGUUGCUCCUGUGUUCUGGGGUUUUGUUGAGUAGGAAUAAAUAAAUCUGACAGACGGCCUCCUUACUGCUGCGGUGGGGUCUCUGCUGUCCCGCUGUGCUCUAGAGACUUCACCGUGGCCUCCCACAGCGGGUGGCACACUGGAUGUUCUUGGUUAGCAAGCUCACCCUCAGAAAUUGUGACUUAAUGUUAGACUCCCUUUGACUGUUGGCAUCUGAAAUGCCUGCUGCCCUGCCCUGACCAUCUGGCGUGCAAUGUGCUGUCUGCUCGCUGGGCUGCACAGCUCCACCCCUUGGUGUAGACCACAGCAGGCUCCGCUGGGGAGGAGGGAGGUGCCCCAUUCCACGUCCACUUCUUUAGGAAGGGCUGCCCAUCUAGUCUGCUGUUAGCGCAGCCUCAGCCUGGCUCCAGUGAACAACACUGCAGCUUCCCCUUUGGGAGUUACUUAAGAACAAAGACAGGCCUUUGGACAACAUCCACAUGACAGCCACAAGGUCCUCAGAGGCAGGAGAUGCUGAUUUGGGUCAGGUUGUAGUUUGACGCAUACUCAAGAGAGCCUGGUGGUGGUACCCAUGCUCUCAGCUAUUCUGUCACAUUUUACUAAGAGACCAAAAUGAGCCCUUCUGAAAAGGGUAACAGGGAUCUCUUCUUUUCACUUCUUGGGGGAAGGAUACCUGCUUGGUAGGUAGAGUAGACCCCAAGCUCGUUGAGUAGAGGUGUGUCCUCUAGGGUUUGGGAAGUAGACGCAGGUUGGUGCAAAGCCAUGAAUGGGUUAAGGGUGGUCCUAAGGAGGGGAGGGGCAAAGGGGGAUGAGGCCUGGGAUUGUGGGUGCAUGACUGUUUGGCUGCCUGGGCUGAAGCAGGCAGAACACACCCCAGGUCAGGCAGCAUGAGGGUGCGCAGCUCAGAGCCAGGAUGACAGAAGGACCUCCCGCCUCCAUCCCUCAUCUCCUGGAGGGGUGGACUUUUAAAAAAAAGAAAAAAACUAGUAAAAUACACAAAACUUA